Molecule: ribosomal RNA, 775 nt
Filed under: uncultured Neocallimastigales
Lineage: Eukaryota; Fungi; Neocallimastigomycota; Neocallimastigomycetes; Neocallimastigales
Description: partial large subunit ribosomal RNA
Rfam family: Eukaryotic large subunit ribosomal RNA
Source: RNAcentral
GUAGUCUCGCACAGAUGCAUAUCAAUAAGCGGAGGAAAAGAAACUAACUAGGAUUCCCUCAGUAACGGCGAGUGAAGCGGGAAGAGCUCAAAUUUGAAAUCUUCAAGGUUCUACCUUGACGAAUUGUAGUUUAAAGAAGUGUUUUCUGUUGGAGUUUUGGUAAAAGUUCUUUGGAAUAGGACAUCAUAGAGGGUGAGAAUCCCGUAUUUGACCAUUAUUUCCAGCUUUGUGAUACACUUUCAAAGAGUCGGAUUGUUUGGGUAUGCAGUCCAAAAUGGGUGGUAAAUUUCAUCUAAAGCUAAAUACUGGCGAGAGACCGAUAGCGAACAAGUACCGUGAGGGAAAGAUGAAAAGAACUUUGAAAAGAGAGUUAAACAGUACGUGAAAUUGUCAAAAGGGAAGCGUUUGACACCAGUGUUGUUUUCUCGAAAAUCAAUUAAAAAAGGCAGGAUUUUGUGUUGUAUUGACUUUAUCAGCUUUCUGCACUCUUUUCUUGUCUUUUUUUAAUGCACUUUUCGUUUAACAAGUCAACAUCAAUUUCUUUUGUUGUAAAAGGGUCAUUGGAAGGUGGCUUUCUUUUCGGAGAAAGUGUUUAUAGCCUUUGGCCUCUGCAAUCGGAGAGAUUGAGGUCUGCAGCGUAGAUCCUUCGGGGUUAGAUACAUUUGUGCUAAGUUAUAGCCUUUCAUAGACAACUUGUUGACUAUGAUCAGUCAUGUAGCUUACUCGCUUAUGCUAUUUUACCUACGCUUAGGAUGUUGAAGUCAUCGUAUCGCGC